This 254-nucleotide ribosomal RNA is filed under the name uncultured bacterium. RNAcentral describes it as "partial 16S ribosomal RNA". It matches the Rfam family "Bacterial small subunit ribosomal RNA", at positions 524 to 776 of the family's 1533-position model. The record is from RNAcentral.
UACGUAGGGGGCAAGCGUUAUCCGGAAUUACUGGGCGUAAAGCGCACGCAGGCGGUUCGCCAAGUUUGGAGUGACAGUUGUCGGCUCAACCGACAAAGGACUUCAAAAACUGGUGAACUUGAGGACGAGAGAGGAACAUGGAACUCCAGGUGUAGUAGUGAAAUGCGUAGAUAUCUGGAAGAACACCAAUGGCGAAGGCAAUGUUCUGGCUCGUUUCUGACGCGUCAGGUGCGAAAGCCAGGGGAGCGAACGGG